AUGGCGACCCCUUCAGACACACGCUCGGCAGCGAGUGGCGGGUCUCGAGGUGGAAAAACGGAUGACCUAGAUGAUUUCUUCGAGCAUAUUUACCUAGAAGAUGAGGUGUUCGAUGAUUUGGUGAUUGAAGAGGAAAUUCCAGAGAUCAAUAACCGUGUAUGACGUAUGGCUCUUGCUCGGGUUCACACUGAUAAGACCUUUAGCCAGUCGGCGUUCUUCAAGGACAUGCGGGUAGCUUGGAACCUGGCGCAUCAGGUGAGAUUCCGGCGAGUUGGUGCCAAUCUGUUUGUGGUGCAGGCUUCAUGCCUUGGCGAUUGGGAGCGGAUCCUUCCAGGGCCAUGGCUUUUUAGAUUUUGGGUUGUGCUUCUUGACCCAUACGAUCGAUUCAGUAGGGUGGAGGAUGUUUAGUUCAUUCAUAUUCCCAUUUGGUUG
This 432-nucleotide ribosomal RNA is filed under the name Triticum aestivum (bread wheat). Its description in RNAcentral is "partial small subunit ribosomal RNA". The record is from RNAcentral. Lineage: Eukaryota; Viridiplantae; Streptophyta; Magnoliopsida; Poales; Poaceae.